RNAcentral lists this ribosomal RNA (254 nucleotides) under uncultured bacterium. Its description in RNAcentral is "partial 16S ribosomal RNA". It matches the Rfam family "Bacterial small subunit ribosomal RNA", at positions 524 to 776 of the family's 1533-position model. The record is from RNAcentral.
UACGAAGGGGGGCUAGCGUUGCUCGGAAUCACUGGGCGUAAAGCGCACGUAGGCGGACUCUUAAGUCAGGGGUGAAAUCCUGGAGCUCAACUCCAGAACUGCCUUUGAUACUGGGAGCCUUGAGUUCGAGAGAGGUGAGUGGAACUGCGAGUGUAGAGGUGAAAUUCGUAGAUAUUCGCAAGAACACCAGUGGCGAAGGCGGCUCACUGGCCCGGUACUGACGCUGAGGUGCGAAAGCGUGGGGAGCAAACAGG